Molecule: long non-coding RNA, 955 nt
Filed under: Parus major (Great Tit)
Lineage: Eukaryota; Metazoa; Chordata; Aves; Passeriformes; Paridae
Description: lncRNA (ENSPMJG00000007404.1)
Source: RNAcentral
AUUACUGAGCUGAGCUGGAAUCACUAUACCAUUACUGAGCUGAGCUGGAAUCACUAUACUAUUACUGAGCUGAGCUGGAAUCAUUAUACCAUUACUGAGCUGAGCUAGAAUCGACUGCUCGAAGCUGCUCACAUGCACUUCAGGCCAGCCUUUCUCAAGGCUGCUUCUGGAGAAGUCGCGGUGCUCCGGGCUUUCCGCCGCCACGGCACCACCCCUUUUAGGGAUGUGCUGCAGCAAUUAUGAGAAGUGAGAGGGAGUCGUGCCCUUGCUAUUAUUCUAGCAACUCUGUUAGGGGAAAAUCUGUGGAUUUAUUUCAGCCACAUUUUGUCUCUUCCAGCAAACAUUCUGGUAGUUUCCAAUACACCAAAAUGAGCAUAAGGGGAUUUUUUCUUCAGUGUUGUUACUUUUGAAUGACCUUGUGGAACAAUGACCAGAUGAUGAAGUGACCAUAUAAAAUACUCUUUUAUGAAAACACCAUGUCAUACACUGCUGGGACAAAUUGUCCAGAGCAGGAUGCUGGGAACAACUUUGAUGCUUUAGAGGAACCUAUAAAACAAAACUCUGGAGUUAUGCCAGGAGAGAGAGUAUGGAAUGGGGAAGGAUUGGAAGAAGAAUUGUUUCUUCUGCCAUGGGAAAAAAAUCAGCAUCUUGGCCUGCUUCACAAGAGUGUAACAGCCCCUUCCUGACUUGUGUGGUGAGGAAACCUGGGUCACAAAAGCUGUGCCCUUCUAUUUAUCAGGGCAGCAGCAAAGCAGCCCAGGGCUUCUGCCUGCCCUUGGGAAGGUGGUGGUGUACAGCAGCAGCAGCAGCCUGGAAGUUCCCUGGGAGCAGAGCAAGGAUGUGCAGCAGGGGAGGAGAGGAGCAGCCUGCAGCAUGGACUGGUGACAAGCAAGAAGUGCCAGGUCACCAGUGGCUGCUGUCCCCUUUGCCACAGCUGCCUUGUGCCAGGAGGUGA